This 567-nucleotide ribosomal RNA is filed under the name Triticum aestivum (bread wheat). RNAcentral's name for it is "partial small subunit ribosomal RNA". Lineage: Eukaryota; Viridiplantae; Streptophyta; Magnoliopsida; Poales; Poaceae. The record is from RNAcentral.
AUGUUCCUAGUAAAAUCUGCAUAUCAUGUCACCUUGAAUUGCCAGGCAAGGGAAUCUAUUCAUUGCAUUGCAUCGACAUCCAAUGGUAGCACAAAUGGAACUUUAUUAUGGAGGGAACUUUGGUCAUUGCCUAUUCCAAGUAAGCUUUUGCAUUUCCGGUCACACCUAUCAAAUAACAGCCUGCCGCUGAGAAUGGAAAUAAAAUAUAGAGGAAUAGAGUUGGACACAAGAUGCCCAAUUUGCUUUAGAUUUGACGAGGACGGUGGCCAUUGUUUUCUGAAAUGUAAAUUUGUGAGAGCCAUAUGGAGGGAAACACUAUUGGAAGAUUUUCGACAAAAGCUAGUUGAGUGCCCAAAUGCAUCCUCCAUGAUGGAAGAAAUCCUGCAACUGCAAGAGGAAAAAUGCAUGAAAGUAUGCAUCUAUUUGUGGAUUUGGUGGCAUGAGCGAAAUAAAGCUAACCAAGGAGACAAAAUCAGAUCAUCGGAUGAGGUUGCAUAUUCAGUUCAGCUGCAUUUUGGUGAAUACAUGGAGCAAUAUCUGAAAGAAAACAAAAAAAUAAGUAAAUAA